GUUUUCCAUUAAUAAUCGUCGCCAUCACAUUGGGGGUGAAUAAAACGGAAAGUUAUGGUUACACCUCUUCUGGAAUAUGUUGGGUGCAGCGUCCCGAGUUUUACUACGUGGUUGUUGGACCCGUACUUUUUACGCUGGUUGUCAACUGCACUGUGUUCUUGAUGAUUCUGCACCAGCUGCUACGUUUGUCACGGCUCAGUGGCCAAACCAGCUUAAACGAGAGUUCGACGAAGAGGUUGGCACGAAAUUUCCGCUCAGCCGUCAGUUUGUUUGUUCUGUUGGGUCUCACGUGGGUCUUUGCG
Long non-coding RNA from Physella acuta, 302 nucleotides. RefSeq lists it as uncharacterized. The record is from RefSeq and is a predicted model, not a curated record. NCBI's taxonomy places the organism in Eukaryota, Metazoa, Mollusca, Gastropoda, Physidae.